Molecule: non-coding RNA, 1016 nt
Organism: Podarcis lilfordi (Lilford's wall lizard)
Lineage: Eukaryota; Metazoa; Chordata; Lepidosauria; Squamata; Lacertidae
Source: the annotation of a GenBank genome assembly
CAGGUUAUCUGAUAAUGCCUUCUCUGAUUGCCUUUCCUGGUAGUCUGCCCAUUCCUUUGAAAUGGUGAUUACCCAAUUCCUGAGACAAUAGGAAGGUUCCCUCCCUCCCUCCUUGCAGAGAAAACAUUUGGUCAGUUUGGGAGUCAAAAUGGUUUCAGGUCGGUCUUCCUGUGCUGCUCCAGACAUGUGGUCAACACAUCAAUGUGUGUGCUUGGCUGGUACACCUAUGAACAUUUAUUAUAUAUAUAUGUGUGUGUGUGUAUGUAUAUGACCUUAGGGAUGUGGGUGGCGCUGUGGGUUAAACCACAGAGCCUAGGACUUGCCGAUCAGAAGGUUGGUGGUUCGAAUCCCCGCAACGGGGUGAGCUCCCGUUGCUCGGUCCCUGCUCCUGCCAACCUAGCAGUUCGAAAGCACGUCAAAGUGCAAGUAGAUAAAUAGGUACCGCUCCAGCAGGAAGGUAAAUGGCAUUUUCGUGCACUGCUCUGGUUUGCCAGAAGCGGCUUACUCAUGCUGGCCACAUGACCCGGAAGCUGUACGCCAGCUCCCUCGGCCAAUAAAGUGAGAUGAGAGCCACAACCCCAGAGUCGGCCACAACUGGACCUAAUGGUGAGGGGUCCCUUUACCUUUAUAAGACCUUAAUUUUUUUAUUACACUCCCAAUCUGCAGCAAGGAGAACCAGUCAACAGAAUAUCCCUACCCUGGAGCUUCCUGGUCUACUGUCCGGUGUUGAGAUGCUCCUAGCGAAGAAGAUGGCAUGUGGAAGAAACCAGCCUUGUGACUGAAGUCUGCUUCCUUUUUCUCGGAGAACUAUCUAGGGAGCACCGGGUUGGCAAAGGCUGACUUGGAGCAGAGAUGUAAUUAAAAUUCACCAACCUCUCUUGACCUGGCAAAGGAAAUAAACAUUCUUCCCAGGUGGUUUAGCUGUGAAAUAUCUGCUGACACACAUCCCUGAAGUUUAUAGAGAUUCCCCUAAAUGCCAAGGACAGGAGUUGGCAAUUAAUUCACAGAUAACGGGC